AGAACGAACGCUGGCGGCAGGCUUAACACAUGCAAGUCGAACGCUCCGCAAGGGGAGUGGCAGACGGGUGAGUAACGCGUGGGAACAUACCCCUCGGUUCGGAAUAACUCAGGGAAACUUGAGCUAAUACCGAAUACGGUCGAGAGGCGAAAGAUUUAUCGCCGAGGGAUUGGCCCGCGUCCGAUUAGCUAGUUGGUGAGGUAAUGGCUCACCAAGGCGACGAUCGGUAGCUGGUCUGAGAGGAUGAUCAGCCACAUUGGGACUGAGACACGGCCCAAACUCCUACGGGAGGCAGCAGUGGGGAAUAUUGGACAAUGGGCGCAAGCCUGAUCCAGCCAUGCCGCGUGAGUGAUGAAGGCCCUAGGGUUGUAAAGCUCUUUUGUGCGGGAAGAUAAUGACGGUACCGCAAGAAUAAGCCCCGGCUAACUUCGUGCCAGCAGCCGC
RNAcentral lists this ribosomal RNA (444 nucleotides) under uncultured bacterium. Its description in RNAcentral is "SSU rRNA". It matches the Rfam family "Bacterial small subunit ribosomal RNA", at positions 26 to 518 of the family's 1533-position model. The record is from RNAcentral.